RNAcentral lists this long non-coding RNA (549 nucleotides) under Lathyrus oleraceus (garden pea). RNAcentral's name for it is "Pisum sativum (pea) long non-coding RNA (PSAT_LNC001996)". Lineage: Eukaryota; Viridiplantae; Streptophyta; Magnoliopsida; Fabales; Fabaceae. The record is from RNAcentral.
CAAAAGUGAUUAUUUUCAAGUCAAAUUUUCAUUGAAAUUAUGUAGCACCUAUGAACAAAACUAUCUUCAUAAUACAACAAAAUCUAACAACAUUUUCAUAUAGCCAAAAUCCCAUUAUUACUUUUUCCAUAUACUAAUGUUGAUGUGCUCAACAAUUCCUCUUUCCAUUUUUUGUUAACUUUCUCAAUAAACUCUUCCACUCUUUUUCUCAACUCAUCAUCAUUGUUUUCAAUUUCAACAUCAUCAUUGUUUUCAAUUUCAAUCUCAACUUCUUCUUCUUCCUCCUCUUCUUUAGCUUCAACAUCGAUGACGACGCGCGGAACUUCUUUCUCUUGUGUCAAUGAUUCUAUAUUCUUGGAAUUGAUUUCUUGCUUUUGAGUUUCACUUUCACAUAUUGAAAGAUGAAUUUCACUCUUUUGAUGAACAUUUAGACUUGGCUUCAAAUCCAAUAAAAUAAUGACUAUGAUCAAAUUACAAAAGCAAAAAAUGAAUGUUGAGCUAGAAGCAGCUUGAGUAAUCAACUCCAAUAUAGAAUCCAACAUGAUUGUG